UUGUACAUCAAGUGCUUCAGCUUUUUGUUAAAAAAUAAAAAAAAAAUGAACUCUAUCGAAGGCAAGCAAGCUUGCGAUUCUCCAAGUUUAGGAUUGCUCUUGACGAGAUCCAAACCAAAUGACCAGUCCUUCUUCCAGAUAUUUAUUUCCCUGCCCUUUAACUGAAAGCAGUCUAAGCCUGACUGUCUUGUCCACAAGUUUAAUGAGACAGGCUGUAUGUUUCGGCUGUUCACCAUUCCUGCGAGUAUUGCGUUCCCUCCAAAUCGCACAUGCACCGUUGCUUGAAAGGUGUAUCGAAGAAGAAAG
Molecule: long non-coding RNA, 306 nt
Filed under: Brassica napus (rape)
Lineage: Eukaryota; Viridiplantae; Streptophyta; Magnoliopsida; Brassicales; Brassicaceae
Description: long non-coding RNA (BNAP_LNC021008)
Source: RNAcentral